UGUGAUGGACAUGCUCUUCAUGCG
Molecule: non-coding RNA, 24 nt
Filed under: Arabidopsis thaliana (thale cress)
Lineage: Eukaryota; Viridiplantae; Streptophyta; Magnoliopsida; Brassicales; Brassicaceae
Source: RNAcentral